RNAcentral lists this ribosomal RNA (858 nucleotides) under uncultured bacterium. Its description in RNAcentral is "bacterial SSU rRNA". It matches the Rfam family "Bacterial small subunit ribosomal RNA", at positions 30 to 863 of the family's 1533-position model. The record is from RNAcentral.
CGAACGCUGGCGGCGUGCUUAACACAUGCAAGUCGAACGCGAAAGGUUCUUUCGGGGACCGAGUAGAGUGGCGCACGGGUGAGUAACGCGUAAGUAAUCUACCCCUGUAUCUGGAAUAACCUACCGAAAGGUGAGCUAAUACCGGAUACGUUUGCGAUGACGCGAGUUGUUGCACAGAAAGGAGGCCUCUGCAUAUGCUUCCGUACAGGGAUGAGCUUGCGUACCAUUAGCUAGUUGGCAGGGUAAUGGCCUACCAAGGCGACGAUGGUUAGCGGGUCUGAGAGGAUGAUCCGCCACACUGGAACUGGAACACGGACCAGACUCCUACGGGAGGCAGCAGUGAGGAAUAUUGCGCAAUGGGGGAAACCCUGACGCAGCGACGCCGCGUGGAUGAUGAAGGCCCUUGGGUCGUAAAAUCCUGUCAGAUGGAAAGAAGUGUUAUGGAGCUAAUACCUUCAUAGCUUGACGGUACCAUCAAAGGAAGCACCGGCUAACUCCGUGCCAGCAGCCGCGGUAAUACGGAGGGUGCAAGCGUUGUUCGGAAUUACUGGGCGUAAAGCGCGCGUAGGCGGUUUGAUCAGUCAGAUGUGAAAGUCCCCGGCUCAACCGUGGAAGUGCAUUUGAAACUGUCAGACUUGAGUAUUGGAGGGGGUGGUGGAAUUCCCGGUGUAGAGGUGAAAUUCGUAGAUAUCGGGAGGAAUACCGGUGGCGAAGGCGACCACCUGGCCAAAUACUGACGCUGAGGUGCGAAAGCGUGGGGAGCAAACAGAAUUAGAUACCCUGGUAGUCCACGCGGUAAACGAUGAGAACUAGGUGUUGGGAUGGUUAAUCGUCUCAUUGCCGCAGCUAACGCAUUAA